RNAcentral lists this ribosomal RNA (497 nucleotides) under uncultured bacterium. RNAcentral's name for it is "partial 16S ribosomal RNA". It matches the Rfam family "Bacterial small subunit ribosomal RNA", at positions 28 to 507 of the family's 1533-position model. The record is from RNAcentral.
GACGAACGCUGGCGGCGUGCCUAAUACAUGCAAGUUGAGCGCUGAAGGUUGGUACUUGUACCAACUGGAUGAGCAGCGAACGGGUGAGUAACGCGUGGGGAAUCUGCCUUUGAGCGGGGGACAACAUUUGGAAACGAAUGCUAAUACCGCAUAAAAACUUUAAACACAAGUUUUAAGUUUGAAAGAUGCAAUUGCAUCACUCAAAGAUGAUCCCGCGUUGUAUUAGCUGGUUGGUGAGGUAAAGGCUCACCAAGGCGAUGAUACAUAGCCGACCUGAGAGGGUGAUCGGCCACAUUGGGACUGGGACACGGCCCAAACUCCUACGGGAGGCAGCAGUAGGGAAUCUUCGGCAAUGGACGAAAGUCUGACCGAACAACGCCGCGUGAGUGAAGAAGGUUUUCGGAUCGUAAAACUCUGUUGGUAGAGAAGAACGUUGGUGAGAGUGGAAAGCUCAUCAAGUGACGGUAACUACCCAGAAAGGAACGGCUAACUACGUG